AGUAAGGGCACGAUCAUAAACGGAUGCCCAUAUAUCAACUGUUGUUAAUAUGUGGUAAUCCAGCUGUGUGUCCUCCAAAGUUUGUAGAGGGGAGGACACUCACGUGACCUCGAGUGAGAGAUAAAAAAGGUAUAUAUAGAGAAACUGCCGAUACUUCAGCGCUGCCUUCUUGAAUUCAUUUAGACAACCAUUUGACUUAGGGUAAUUGGCACCUGACUCAAAUUACUUAAAGAUUCUAACUUGUUGGAUCUGAGAAGUGUCUCUCCGAUAUACCGUUUAACUAUUGAACAGCUGUUCUGUCGCCUGCGGCCUUGUGUGUGUGUAUACUGACGCAAAUUACAUCUAGAGAAAGUCUCAGUAACUUAUCCUCUCGAUUGAGCUCAGUACCUCGCCCUCGUUGUAUGGCACAGAUUAUUCAAUAUUCCAGUGGGGCAGGGAAUCACCAGCGGGUUCUCUCAUCCAGUCCAAACUUGAAUCUCUAAAUUUAGUAAAGCACCGACUCCAAUUCAACCUCUCAGCCAGUAGAGGGGAGUCGCUACCUACCUAAAUUCUUAAAAGAACUCUGACCGACUGAAACUCUGCUCCUGAUACCGUGGGUCUCCCUGUCAUCUUUUAAAGAGAAUUUGGCAGUACGUCCAACCGGCAUCACAACCGCAGACCAAGUGUAAUCACGCCAAUCCAGGAACUCCAAAUCCGGCUUCUUCACCUUCACCUACACCUGAUUGGCUGGGCCUUGCUCUCCAGUGUGUGGGCCUGAAUCCCAAGUGGGUGGUGCUAUGCCCUCCCAGGCCCACCCAUGGCUCCGCCCCUGCCCAGUCAUGUGAAAUCCAUAGAUUAGGGCCUAAUUUAUUUAUUUCAAUUGACUGAUUUCCUUAUAUGAACUGUAACUCAGGAAAUUUGUUGAAAUUGCAUGUUGAAUUUAUAUUUUUGUUCAGUAUAUAGCAUCUAAACUUUUCCCAUCCACCUGUCACGUCUGCUCCCGCUCUUCCCUUCCCCUGGCGCUUGAGGGCGCCAGAUUACCCUGCAUCACACGCUCCUGCCAUCAAUCAUGCACACCUGCCUUCCCUCAUCACUCGCAUCAGCAUUAUUGGACUCACCUGGACUCACUUAUCUCCUGUUGAUUUCCUCCCCUAUAUUUGUCAGUUCCCCAGCUCUGUUCCCUGCUGAUUCAUUGAUUGUUUUUUGUCUUUGUUUUCUGUUUGCUGACGCUGUUCCUGGCUCGUUAUAUGUCCAUUAUUUAUUCAAUGUUACUCCCCGUACCUGC
Molecule: long non-coding RNA, 1264 nt
Organism: Oncorhynchus tshawytscha (Chinook salmon)
Lineage: Eukaryota; Metazoa; Chordata; Actinopteri; Salmoniformes; Salmonidae
Exons: 2
Source: RefSeq, a predicted model, not a curated record